UCGCCGGUGUCGCUGCCUUCGAGCUCGAAGUCGAUGUCCAUGUCAUUGCCGGUCGGACUGGAGGAGGGAGGAGGCGGGCUCGCCGGUCAGCCGGUCACGGAGGGAGCAGUGGGGGUGGUGGGGCCCGGGGCUUCGGCGGAGGGAGCCAUGGCCCGUGGAGGAGGGAGAAGGGCAGAAGGCGGGGCGACGGUGGACGGGGAGGAGGCGGGGCGACGGUCGAC
This 221-nucleotide long non-coding RNA is filed under the name Brachypodium distachyon (stiff brome). RNAcentral's name for it is "long non-coding RNA (BDIS_LNC002521)". The record is from RNAcentral. Lineage: Eukaryota; Viridiplantae; Streptophyta; Magnoliopsida; Poales; Poaceae.